RNAcentral lists this ribosomal RNA (345 nucleotides) under Triticum aestivum (bread wheat). RNAcentral describes it as "partial small subunit ribosomal RNA". Lineage: Eukaryota; Viridiplantae; Streptophyta; Magnoliopsida; Poales; Poaceae. The record is from RNAcentral.
AUGAGUGCUGCUAUAUGGUUUGAACCCUCUAUCUGUAGAUCAUUCCUUUUACUGAUUUCUAGCUUUUCGGAGGCACAAGUAGUUGAUCACUUAGACGUACGAGAUUCUGAAAGGAUUGUUCCCUCUAGGCACAUCUUAGGAAGGAUUCCGUGUCCCUCCAACUCCAUCCAUUCGGCUGGCUCAUCCUCAUCAUCCGAAAAGAAAACAGAGACAAAACAGAUUUGUUUCAAUGACAUAUCUAAUCAGACUGAAAUUGAUGUCGAAGACACGAUCAUUCACAUCAAUUGAAGCAGGCAGGAAGGGCGCGGAAGCUACCGUUUAACGAAUGCAAUGCAAGCAAGGUAG